RNAcentral lists this ribosomal RNA (550 nucleotides) under uncultured beta proteobacterium. RNAcentral describes it as "bacterial SSU rRNA". It matches the Rfam family "Bacterial small subunit ribosomal RNA", at positions 355 to 897 of the family's 1533-position model. Lineage: Bacteria; Pseudomonadati; Pseudomonadota; Betaproteobacteria. The record is from RNAcentral.
UGGGGAAUUUUGGACAAUGGGGGCAACCCUGAUCCAGCCAUUCCGCGUGAGUGAAGAAGGCCUUCGGGUUGUAAAGCUCUUUCGGCCGGAACGAAACGGUUUCAGCUAAUACCUGAGACUACUGACGGUACCGGAAGAAGAAGCACCGGCUAACUACGUGCCAGCAGCCGCGGUAAUACGUAGGGUGCGAGCGUUAAUCGGAAUUACUGGGCGUAAAGCGUGCGCAGGCGGUUUACUAAGACAGGUGUGAAAUCCCCGGGCUUAACCUGGGAAUGGCGCUUGUGACUGGUAGGCUAGAGUACGUCAGAGGGGGGUGGAAUUCCACGUGUAGCAGUGAAAUGCGUAGAGAUGUGGAGGAACACCGUUGGCGAAGGCAGCCCCCUGGGAUGAUACUGACGCUCAGGCACGAAAGCGUGGGGAGCAAACAGGAUUAGAUACCCUGGUAGUCCACGCCCUAAACGAUGUCGACUAGUUGUUGGGGAACUUGUUUCUUCAGUAACGCAGCUAACGCGUGAAGUCGACCGCCUGGGGAGUACGGUCGCAAGAUUAA